Molecule: ribosomal RNA, 226 nt
Filed under: Entamoeba sp.
Lineage: Eukaryota; Evosea; Mastigamoebida; Endamoebidae
Description: partial small subunit ribosomal RNA
Rfam family: Eukaryotic small subunit ribosomal RNA
Source: RNAcentral
UAACUAUAAACGAUGUCAACGAAGGAUUGGAUAAAUUUUAAGACAAAUAAUGACUAUCAGCAUUGCUGGGAGUUGUUAAAUGUCGAAUACACCUUAUUCAGAACUUGAAGAGAAAUCUUGAGUUAGUGGACUUCAGGGGGAGUAUGGUCACAAGGCUGAAACUUAAAGGAAUUGACGGAAGGGCACACAAGGAGUGGAGCCUGCGGCUUAAUUUGACUCAACACGG